This 322-nucleotide long non-coding RNA is filed under the name Gossypium barbadense (sea-island cotton). Its description in RNAcentral is "long non-coding RNA (GBAR_LNC012124)". The record is from RNAcentral. Lineage: Eukaryota; Viridiplantae; Streptophyta; Magnoliopsida; Malvales; Malvaceae.
UCUUCUCUACCAUCUUGUAAAACUUCUUUUGCAUUAUUAAAUUUUAGGCAUGUUGCGUGUCCAGAAUCUUUCCUUUCUCUUGAAACAAAAUUACUACUGUUUAACCACAGAGACGGCCUUCUAUGCCUUGAAAAGACUGCAAACCAAGAAGAGAAAAAUAGUUGAUCGUCGCGCCUCAAAGAGUCGAAAGAUAAGGUAGGUUUUCAAAUGUGAUUGGAUUGGCACCUUGUAUUUUUAUGGAGUCACGUUAAUCCGGUGCAUUUCUUAACGUUGGAGAGUUUGUGUUUAUUAACAUUCUUGUAGGUACCAUGUUCACGAGAAG